Myodes glareolus (Bank vole) is the source of this 125-nucleotide non-coding RNA. Lineage: Eukaryota; Metazoa; Chordata; Mammalia; Rodentia; Cricetidae. The record is from RefSeq and is a predicted model, not a curated record.
AUUCUCCUGCCCAAGACAGAUGCUGGUUAGACUCAUGCCGGUGUCUGAGAUGAACCUAGUACAUAGGAUACACCAUGAAAGACCUGAUUAACAGCACCCUCAUUCAGCACGAAGUAGUUUGGAGA